ACCUGGGUGGCUCAGUUGGUUAAGCAUCUGGCUUCAGUUCAGGUGAUCUCGCAGUCCGUGGGUUCAAGUCCCACAUCAGGCU
RNAcentral lists this transfer RNA (82 nucleotides) under Felis catus (domestic cat). It matches the Rfam family "tRNA". From Rfam's summary of the family: Transfer RNA (tRNA) molecules are approximately 80 nucleotides in length. Their secondary structure includes four short double-helical elements and three loops (D, anti-codon, and T loops). Lineage: Eukaryota; Metazoa; Chordata; Mammalia; Carnivora; Felidae. The record is from Rfam by way of RNAcentral.